CAGUCGCCGCGGGAAUACGUAGGGUGCGAGCGUUAAUCGGAAUUACUGGGCGUAAAGCGCACGUAGGCGGUUUUGUAAGUCAGAGGUGAAAGCCCGGAGCUCAACUCCGGAACUGCCUUUGAGACUGCAUCACUUGAACGUCGGAGAGGUGAGUGGAAUUCCGAGUGUAGAGGUGAAAUUCGUAGAUAUUCGGAAGAACACCAGUGGCGAAGGCGGCUCACUGGACGACUGUUGACGCUGAGGUGCGAAAGCGUGGGGAGCAAACAGGAUUAGAUACCCCUGUAGUCCCUGUCUCUUAUAC
This 301-nucleotide ribosomal RNA is filed under the name uncultured bacterium. RNAcentral's name for it is "partial 16S ribosomal RNA". It matches the Rfam family "Bacterial small subunit ribosomal RNA", at positions 509 to 807 of the family's 1533-position model. The record is from RNAcentral.